GAUGAACGCUGGCGGCGUGCCUAAUACAUGCAAGUCGAGCGAACGGACGAGAAGCUUGCUUCUCUGAUGUUAGCGGCGGACGGGUGAGUAACACGUGGAUAACCUACCUAUAAGACUGGGAUAACUUCGGGAAACCGGAGCUAAUACCGGAUAAUAUUUUGAACCGCAUGGUUCAAAAGUGAAAGACGGUCUUGCUGUCACUUAUAGAUGGAUCCGCGCUGCAUUAGCUAGUUGGUAAGGUAACGGCUUACCAAGGCAACGAUGCAUAGCCGACCUGAGAGGGAGGUCGGCCAGACUGGAACUAGGGCACGGUCCAGACUCCUACGGGAGGCAGCAGUAGGGAAUGUUCCGCAAUGGGCGAAAGACUGAAGGAGUAACGCAGCGGGAGUGAUGAAGGUCUUCGGAUCGUAAAAAUCUGUUACUAGGAAAGAACAUAUGUGUAAGUAACUGUGCACAUCUAGACGGUACAUAAUCAGAAAGCCACGGCUAACUACGUA
RNAcentral lists this ribosomal RNA (497 nucleotides) under uncultured bacterium. Its description in RNAcentral is "partial 16S ribosomal RNA". It matches the Rfam family "Bacterial small subunit ribosomal RNA", at positions 28 to 507 of the family's 1533-position model. The record is from RNAcentral.